GACAGAGGGUGCAAGCGUUGUUCGGAAUUAUUGGGCGUAAAGGGCGCGUAGGUGGCCAUGUAAGUCAACUGUGAAAGCCCAGGGCUUAACCCUGGAAGUGCAGCUGAUACUGCGUGGCUUGAGUCUCGGAGAGGAUGGUGGAAUUCCCAGUGUAGAGGUGAAAUUCGUAGAUAUUGGGAGGAACACCGGUGGCGAAGGCGACCAUCUGGACGAAGACUGACACUGAGGCGCGAAAGCGUGGGGAGCAAACAGG
RNAcentral lists this ribosomal RNA (253 nucleotides) under uncultured bacterium. RNAcentral describes it as "partial 16S ribosomal RNA". It matches the Rfam family "Bacterial small subunit ribosomal RNA", at positions 524 to 776 of the family's 1533-position model. The record is from RNAcentral.